Molecule: non-coding RNA, 73 nt
Organism: Pseudohyphozyma bogoriensis
Lineage: Eukaryota; Fungi; Basidiomycota; Microbotryomycetes; Chrysozymaceae
Source: the annotation of a GenBank genome assembly
CGCGGAUUGGUGAAACGGUAUCAUCGCUGACUCAUGAUUAGCAGUCCUGGGUUCGACUCCUAGAUCCGCAUGA